AGUGAACGCUGGCGGUAGGCCUAACACAUGCAAGUCGAACGGCAGCACAGGAGAGCUUGCUCUCUAGGUGGCGAGUGGCGGACGGGUGAGGAAUACAUCGGAAUCUGCCCAGUCGUGGGGGAUAACGUAGGGAAACUUACGCUAAUACCGCAUACGACCUUCGGGUGAAAGAGGGGGAUCGCAAGACCUCUCGCGAUUGGAUGAGCCGAUGUCGGAUUAGCUAGUUAGCGGGGUAAUGGCCCACCAAGGCGACGAUCCGUAGCUGGUCUGAGAGGAUGAUCAGCCACACUGGAACUGAGACACGGUCCAGACUCCUACGGGAGGCAGCAGCGGGGAAUAUUGGACAAUGGGCGCAAGCCUGAUCCAGCCAUACCGCGUGGGUGAAGAAGGCCUUCGGGUUGUAAAGCCCUUUUGUUGGGAAAGAAAUCUUUCAGGCUAAUACCCUGGGAGGAUGACGGUACCCAAAGAAUAAGCACCGGCUAACUUCGUG
Molecule: ribosomal RNA, 490 nt
Filed under: uncultured bacterium
Lineage: Bacteria
Description: partial 16S ribosomal RNA
Rfam family: Bacterial small subunit ribosomal RNA
Source: RNAcentral